Molecule: ribosomal RNA, 253 nt
Filed under: uncultured prokaryote
Description: partial 16S ribosomal RNA
Rfam family: Bacterial small subunit ribosomal RNA
Source: RNAcentral
AUGUAGGCAGCGAGCGUUGUUCGGAAUUACUGGGCGUAAAGAGUGUGUAGGCGGUGUUCCAAGUCUGGUGUGAAAUCUCCCGGCUUAACUGGGAGGGCGCGCCGGAAACUGGAAUGCUAGAGGGUGGGAGAGGUAAGCGGAAUUCCUGGUGUAGCGGUGAAAUGCGUAGAGAUCCGGAAGAACACCGGUGGCGAAGGCGGCCUGCUGGGCAGUUGCUGACGCUGAGGCGCGACAGCGUGGGGAGCAAACAGGA